CAGCAGCCGCGGGAAUACGUAUGGUGCAAGCGUUAAUCGGAAUUACUGGGCGUAAAGCGUGCGCAGGCGGUUUGUUAAGACAGAUGUGAAAUCCCCGGGCUCAACCUGGGAACUGCAUUUGUGACUGGCAAGCUAGAGUGUGGCAGAGGGGGGUGGAAUUCCGCGUGUAGCAGUGAAAUGCGUAGAUAUGCGGAGGAACACCGAUGGCGAAGGCAGCCCCCUGGGCCAACACUGACGCUCAUGCACGAAAGCGCGGGGAGCAAACAGGAUUAGAUACCCGUGUAGUCCCUGUCUCUUAUAC
This 301-nucleotide ribosomal RNA is filed under the name uncultured bacterium. RNAcentral describes it as "partial 16S ribosomal RNA". It matches the Rfam family "Bacterial small subunit ribosomal RNA", at positions 509 to 807 of the family's 1533-position model. The record is from RNAcentral.